Molecule: long non-coding RNA, 528 nt
Filed under: Pan troglodytes (chimpanzee)
Lineage: Eukaryota; Metazoa; Chordata; Mammalia; Primates; Hominidae
Description: long non-coding RNA NONPTRT001661
Source: RNAcentral
CAGCAAGCUGGUCCUCUGCUCCCGACUCGCUCAACUCAUGUAAUCUGGUUUCAGCCUUAUAUUUUUAAUACUACUCUAACCAUAAGUUUUUAUUGUUGUUUUUAUUUGCAUCUAUGAUAUUUGAUAAUGUCUUUAAUGAAAUUUAUGUUUAGUGACUAUAAUUUGUCAUUUUCCCACACAUUUUGUAUAAAAUCUAAAUUCCGUUAUUUUAAAAUAUAUAGUUCUGAGCUGUCUCUUUAAGACAAAUAUUUUCUUAUUUUUGCCCUGUUUUGGAAUUUAGUUUAUAUUAUAUCAAGGUACCCCAUUUGAAACAAGAAGAUAAUAAGAAGGUAAGCACCCUUGUUUCUCAGGAGGCAGAUGGCUGAAUAUGUGAUGACAGAGGCCCAUUUACUUUGCCAUUUACUUACAGUGCUGUCUGUCAUGUAGUUAAAUGAUUAUUGUGUGUUUUUUCUGCUUUAAUGGGACUCUAAGCUGAAAUCUUUUCCUUGAAGCAAAUAAAGGAUAGGCUUUUAAGAGUUUACCAACGUG